This 730-nucleotide unclassified non-coding RNA is filed under the name Nilaparvata lugens (brown planthopper). RNAcentral describes it as "uncharacterized LOC111050620, transcript variant X2". Lineage: Eukaryota; Metazoa; Arthropoda; Insecta; Hemiptera; Delphacidae. The record is from RNAcentral.
UAUAUAGUUGUAGUUACUUAGAUUGAAAAUGUAAUUGUUUUUUAAUUUCAGUCUUAGGGGAUAUUAUGUAGGGAAGAAUCGGCAAACAGCCUUUUUGGCCUUGCCACAUUGUAACAGACAAUGAUGGGAGAUUCUACAAAAGAAAAAUGUGCUCCAACGAUGUUUUCCGAAUAACAUUCUAUGUGCAGUGGUUGGGGGAUAGAAGGCACUCGUGGGUGGGCCUCUCUUAUUUGGUGCCCUUUGAGAGGGCACCAAACCCCCAGCACACUCCGUAUGACAUGUUGAAAAAUUACAUCCAAACUCACCUCAAAACGAAAGACAACUUGAAGGCCUGUAAGGUGCCAAGGAGGCUGGUGGCCAAAGUGGACGCAGCAGUGGAGUUGGCUAUGGAGAUGCAGGAUGUUUUUAUCUGAGUGAUGGUGAUUGGUUCCGUGGUGUUGAACCAGAUAGUGGUGGGACUUGCGGUGUCCUACCUGAGCGUCCUGAUGUGUGGCAUCGGUGUCCUGAUGGCGUGGCGUGGCUUCUCUCCCCUCCGCCAACUGCCCACCUUCCACUGGGUGUGCGCCGAGUUGGCGCUCCACAUAACUCUCACAGAGUUUUGCACAGCCGCUUGUUUUAUAAGCACAUUCACAAGCAGCACCACGAGUGGACGGCUCCAAUCUCAGUUACCGCCAUCUACUGUCAUCCCAUCGAGCACACAUUCAGCAAUCUGUUGCCGCCCUUCCUCGGG